UAGGGAAUCUUCCACAAUGGGCGAAAGCCUGAUGGAGCAACGCCGCGUGUGUGAUGAAGGCUUUCGGGUCGUAAAGCACGGUUGUAUGGGAAGAACAGCUAGAAUAGGAAAUGAUUUUAGUUUGACGGUACCAUACCAGAAAGGGACGGCUAAAUACGUGCCAG
RNAcentral lists this ribosomal RNA (164 nucleotides) under uncultured bacterium. RNAcentral's name for it is "partial 16S ribosomal RNA". It matches the Rfam family "Bacterial small subunit ribosomal RNA", at positions 355 to 511 of the family's 1533-position model. The record is from RNAcentral.